RNAcentral lists this ribosomal RNA (253 nucleotides) under uncultured bacterium. RNAcentral describes it as "partial 16S ribosomal RNA". It matches the Rfam family "Bacterial small subunit ribosomal RNA", at positions 524 to 776 of the family's 1533-position model. The record is from RNAcentral.
UACGAAGCGUGCGAGCGUUGUUCGGAUUCACUGGGCUUAAAGGGCGCGUAGGCGGUCGGCCAAGUCUGGGGUGAAAUCUUUCGGCUCAACCGGAAAAGUGCCCCCGAUACUGGCCGUCUAGAGGGAGGUAGGGGCAUGUGGAACUUCCGGUGGAGCGGUGAAAUGCGUAGAUAUCGGAAGGAACGCCGGUGGCGAAAGCGACGUGCUGGACCUCAUCUGACGCUGAGGCGCGAAAGCCAGGGGAGCAAACGGG